UACGUAGGUGGCAAGCGUUGUCCGGAUUUACUGGGCGUAAAGGGCGUGCAGGCGGUUUGUUAAGUGCAGGGUGAAAGCUCCCGGCUCAACUGGGAGAGGUCCUUGCAUACUGGCAAACUCGAGGGAGGCAGAGGAAAGUGGAAUUCCCGGUGUAGUGGUGAUAUGCGUAGAUAUCGGGAGGAACACCAGUGGCGAAGGCGGUUCUCUGGGACGGUACUGACGCUGAGACGCGAAAGCGUGGGGAGCGAACAGG
This 253-nucleotide ribosomal RNA is filed under the name uncultured bacterium. Its description in RNAcentral is "partial 16S ribosomal RNA". It matches the Rfam family "Bacterial small subunit ribosomal RNA", at positions 524 to 776 of the family's 1533-position model. The record is from RNAcentral.